ACUGAAGUGUGGUUGGCUUGGCCGCAGUGGCAUGCAGUGUUUCUGAGGGAGAGUAAUCACUGUGCUGAUCUGGGUUUUGGAAUGGGGAAUAGAUAAUGGAAGGUGAGCAUUCUCAGCAAAUGGUGGAACUCUGGCUAAAGAUGCCCUCCAGGAAGAGAGACUGGAAGCUGUGUGGGAAGAACAGUACCCAGUAUUGUCUGGCUGAGAUGCUCAUCAAUUGAGUGAUGGAAAGGAAACUUGAGCAGCUCAAAGAUGGUCAGGGAAAAAAAUCCAGCUGCCCCGCUGUGGCCACGGGAGGGCCUGUGUCAGGCCCCACACUGUUUCUUCUGCCCGGUGUGAUAAGGUAGCCAGCCUGUGGUGUCUGGAUGGACCCUUGGUGCCAGCCCCAGGCCUGCAUUGCUGGCAGCUGGAGGGACACCUAUGGAGUUGCUGGCUACAGGAAACCAAAGGAGACCAGGCGUGAAACUAGCCAUGUUGGUAUCAGCCUUGGACUGGACCCCCGUGCUCGACUUGUAAUUCCAGAAUUCUCUCCCAGCGCUGUUGAGCACCACACAUGCCACUUGCUGUGUGUGCAGCUGGUUCUUUGCUGAAAACUGUAUCCCAUGGGAUGUGGUUGCUUACAUUGAAGUUACUAAUCCCCCAAACA
Long non-coding RNA from Mastomys coucha (southern multimammate mouse), 646 nucleotides. RefSeq lists it as uncharacterized. The transcript has 3 exons. The record is from RefSeq and is a predicted model, not a curated record. Lineage: Eukaryota; Metazoa; Chordata; Mammalia; Rodentia; Muridae.